CAUCGUGAGAUGGAAUCUGAAGGAAGCCGGAUGUGGGGAACUAACUAACCCACGGGCAAACCUCUGGUCUGACGGACAGAAACCGUAUAGAAGGCCGUACAUGAGGGUAAGUCUGCGCCACAAGACGAAGCCCAAUAGCUACACGGAAUCAUGUGCGGUAAAUGCGGCAGAUUUAUGGAGGGAAAGAAAC
This 190-nucleotide non-coding RNA is filed under the name uncultured Paraprevotella sp. The record is from RNAcentral. Lineage: Bacteria; Pseudomonadati; Bacteroidota; Bacteroidia; Bacteroidales; Prevotellaceae.